RNAcentral lists this ribosomal RNA (700 nucleotides) under Suillus luteus. RNAcentral's name for it is "eukaryotic LSU rRNA". The stretch from base 267 to 421 matches the Rfam family "5.8S ribosomal RNA". Lineage: Eukaryota; Fungi; Basidiomycota; Agaricomycetes; Boletales; Suillaceae. The record is from RNAcentral.
UAGAGGAAGUAAAAGUCGUAACAAGGUUUCCGUAGGUGAACCUGCGGAAGGAUCAUUAAUGAAAUUAUAAUCCGGCGAGGGGAAAGGCGGAGAGUUGUAGCUGGCCUCCAGGGGCAUGUGCACGCUCUCUUCCGGACCUUUCGCCGUAUGGGCGCGGGGCGACCCGCGUCUUCAUAUACCUCUUCGUGUAGAAAGUCUUUGAAUGUUUUACCAUCAUCGAGUCGCGACUUCUAGGAGACGCGAUUCUUUGAGAAAAAAGUUAUUACAACUUUCAGCAACGGAUCUCUUGGCUCUCGCAUCGAUGAAGAACGCAGCGAAUCGCGAUAUGUAAUGUGAAUUGCAGAUCUACAGUGAAUCAUCGAAUCUUUGAACGCACCUUGCGCUCCUCGGUGUUCCGAGGAGCAUGCCUGUUUGAGUGUCAGUAAAUUCUCAACCCCUCUCGAUUUGCUUCGAGCGGGUGCUUGGAUGUUGGGGGCUGCCGGAGACACUGGAUUCGUCCAGGACUCGGGCUCCUCUUAAAUGAAUCGGCUCGCGGUCGACUUUCGACUUUGCAUGACAAGGCCUUUGGCGUGAUAAUGAUCGCCGUUCGCCGAAGUGCAAGACAGAAUGGUCCCGUGCCUCUAAUGCGUCGACGCCUCUAGGGGCGUCUUCCUCAUUGACGUUUGACCUCAAAUCAGGUAGGACUACCCGCUGAACUUAA